Molecule: ribosomal RNA, 165 nt
Filed under: uncultured bacterium
Lineage: Bacteria
Description: partial 16S ribosomal RNA
Rfam family: Bacterial small subunit ribosomal RNA
Source: RNAcentral
UAGGGAAUCUUCCACAAUGGGCGAAAGCCUGAUGGAGCAACGCCGCGUGAGUGAAGAAGGGUUUCGGCUACGUAAAACUCUGUUGUUAAAGAAGAACAUAUCUGAGAGUAACUGUUCAGGUAUUGACGGUAUUUAACCAGAAAGCCACGGCUAACUACGUGGCAG